Molecule: ribosomal RNA, 253 nt
Filed under: uncultured bacterium
Lineage: Bacteria
Description: partial 16S ribosomal RNA
Rfam family: Bacterial small subunit ribosomal RNA
Source: RNAcentral
UACGAAGGGGGCUAGCGUUGCUCGGAAUUACUGGGCGUAAAGCGCACGUAGGCGGCUUUCUAAGUCGGGGGUGAAAUCCUGGAGCUCAACUCCAGAACUGCCUUCGAUACUGGAAAGCUCGAGUCCGGGAGAGGUGAGUGGAACUGCGAGUGUAGAGGUGGAAUUCGUAGAUAUUAGGAAGAACACCAGUGGCGAAGGCGGCUCACUGGUCCGGUACUGACGCUGAGGUGCGAAAGCGUGGGGAGCAAACAGG